CCCGCACAAGCGGUGGAGCAUGUGGUUUAACUCGACGCAACGCGAAGAACCUUACCAGGGCUUGACAUCCCCUGACCGCGUAUGAAAGUACGUUUUCACCCUCGGGUGACAGGGAGACAGGUGGUGCAUGGUUGUCGUCAGCUCGUGUCGUGAGAUGUUGGGUUAAGUCCCGCAACGAGCGCAACCCCUACGUUUAGUUGCUAACGCGUGAAGGCGAGCACUCUAGACGAACUGCCGUUGACAAAACGGAGGAAGGUGGGAUGACGUCAAAUCAUCAUGCCCCUUAUGUUCUGGGCUACACACGUGCUACAAUGGCCGGUACAGACGGACGCAAAGCCGCGAGGUGGAGCAAAUCCUAAAAAGCCGGUCUCAGUUCGGAUUGCAGGCUGCAAUUCGCCUGCAUGAAGUCGGAAUCGCUAGUAAUCGCAGGUCAGCAUACUGCGGUGAAUACGUUCCCGGGCCUU
RNAcentral lists this ribosomal RNA (464 nucleotides) under uncultured Pelotomaculum sp. RNAcentral's name for it is "bacterial SSU rRNA". It matches the Rfam family "Bacterial small subunit ribosomal RNA", at positions 920 to 1382 of the family's 1533-position model. The record is from RNAcentral. Lineage: Bacteria; Bacillati; Bacillota; Clostridia; Eubacteriales; Desulfotomaculaceae.